UGAGGCGUGAUGACGAGGCACUACGGUGCUGAAGCAACAAAUGCCCUGCUUCCAGGAAAAGCCUCUAAGCAUCAGGUAACAUCAAAUCGUACCCCAAACCGACACAGGUGGUCAGGUAGAGAAUACCAAGGCGCUUGAGAGAACUCGGGUGAAGGAACUAGGCAAAAUGGUGCCGUAACUUCGGGAGAAGGCACGCUGACACGUAGGUGAAGUGAUUUACUCAUGGAGCUGAAGUCAGUCGAAGAUACCAGCUGGCUGCAACUGUUUAUUAAAAACACAGCACUGUGCAAACACGAAAGUGGACGUAUACGGUGUGACGCCUGCCCGGUGCCGGAAGGUUAAUUGAUGGGGUCAGCGCAAGCGAAGCUCCUGAUCGAAGCCCCGGUAAACGGCGGCCGUAACUAUAACGGUCCUAAGGUAGCGAAAUUCCUUGUCGGGUAAGUUCCGACCUGCACGAAUGGCGUAAUGAUGGCCAGGCUGUCUCCACCCGAGACUCAGUGAAAUUGAACUCGCUGUGAAGAUGCAGUGUACCCGCGGCAAGACGGAAAGACCCCGUGAACCUUUACUAUAGCUUGACACUGAACAUUGAGCCUUGAUGUGUAGGAUAGGUGGGAGGCUUUGAAGUGUGGACGCCAGUCUGCAUGGAGCCGGCCUUGAAAUACCACCCUUUAAUGUUUGAUGUUCUAACGUGGACCCGUGAUCCGGGUUGCGGACAGUGUCUGGUGGGUAGUUUGACUGGGGCGGUCUCCUCCUAAAGAGUAACGGAGGAGCACGAAGGUUGGCUAAUCCUGGUCGGACAUCAGGAGGUUAGUGCAAUGGCAUAAGCCAGCUUGACUGCGAGCGUGACGGCGCGAGCAGGUGCGAAAGCAGGUCAUAGUGAUCCGGUGGUUCUGAAUGGAAGGGCCAUCGCUCAACGGAUAAAAGGUACUCCGGGGAUAACAGGCUGAUACCGCCCAAGAGUUCAUAUCGACGGCGGUGUUUGGCACCUCGAUGUCGGCUCAUCACAUCCUGGGGCUGAAGUAGGUCCCAAGGGUAUGGCUGUUCGCCAUUUAAAGUGGUACGCGAGCUGGGUUUAGAACGUCGUGAGACAGUUCGGUCCCUAUCUGCCGUGGGCGCUGGAGAACUGAGGGGGGCUGCUCCUAGUACGAGAGGACCGGAGUGGACGCAUCACUGGUGUUCGGGUUGUCAUGCCAAUGGCACUGCCCGGUAGCUAAAUGCGGAAGAGAUAAGUGCUGAAAGCAUCUAAGCACGAAACUUGCCCCGAGAUGAGUUCUCCCUGAGACUUUAGGUCUCCUGAAGGAACGUUGAAGACGACGACGUUGAUAGGCCGGGUGUGUAAGCGCAGCGAUGCGUUGAGCUAACCGGUACUAAUGAACCGUGAGGCUUAACCUUACA
Molecule: ribosomal RNA, 1395 nt
Filed under: Salmonella enterica
Lineage: Bacteria; Pseudomonadati; Pseudomonadota; Gammaproteobacteria; Enterobacterales; Enterobacteriaceae
Also listed under: 1 other name
Description: bacterial LSU rRNA
Rfam family: Bacterial large subunit ribosomal RNA
Source: RNAcentral